This 298-nucleotide long non-coding RNA is filed under the name Ananas comosus (pineapple). RNAcentral describes it as "long non-coding RNA (ACOM_LNC000659)". Lineage: Eukaryota; Viridiplantae; Streptophyta; Magnoliopsida; Poales; Bromeliaceae. The record is from RNAcentral.
AUUUGAUGUUUUGAGUAAACUGGGGAAUAUGCAAGAUUAUGGCAAAUUAGGGUUAGGUUUGGGAUUUUUCAAUUUGAGAGUUUUUGAUUGAGAUUGAUGGGUUGUAAAGCCUUCUGUAGGUUGGAAUAUAAGCGUUAUCGAUUUCAAUGGAAGUUAUUUCAAGGAUUGACCAUGUAGUAUACGAAGUUUUGGCCUAUUGAUUAAGUGGCAGUUGGUUUUGAUGGUGGCAGUUGGUUUUGAUGGUCGACACGUCUAUGUGAUGUUAGGUCAAGUUAGAGUUGAUCUUGUGUGAAAUGGG